This 253-nucleotide ribosomal RNA is filed under the name uncultured bacterium. Its description in RNAcentral is "partial 16S ribosomal RNA". It matches the Rfam family "Bacterial small subunit ribosomal RNA", at positions 524 to 776 of the family's 1533-position model. The record is from RNAcentral.
GACGUAGGGCGCGAGCGUUGUCCGGAUUUAUUGGGCGUAAAGAGCUCGUAGGCGGCUCGUUGCGUCGGCUGUGAAAACCCGCAGCUCAACUGUGGGCUUGCAGCCGAUACGGGCGGGCUAGGAUUCGGUAGGGGAGACUGGAAUUCCUGGUGUAGCGGUGAAAUGCGCAGAUAUCAGGAGGAACACCGGUGGCGAAGGCGGCUUCCUGGACACUUACUGACGCUGAGACGCGAAAGCGUGGGGAGCAAACAGG